Molecule: ribosomal RNA, 496 nt
Filed under: uncultured bacterium
Lineage: Bacteria
Description: partial 16S ribosomal RNA
Rfam family: Bacterial small subunit ribosomal RNA
Source: RNAcentral
GAUGAACGCUGGCGGCGUGCCUAAUACUUGCAAGUCGAGCGAACAGACGAGGAGCUUGCUCCUCUGACGUUAGCGGCGGACGGGUGAGUAACACGUGGAUAACCUACCUAUAAGACUGGGAUAACUUCGGGAAACCGGAGCUAAUACCGGAUAAUAUAUUGAACCGCAUGGUUCAAUAGUGAAAGACGGUUUUGCUGUCACUUAUAGAUGGAUCCGCGCCGCAUUAGCUAGUUGGUAAGGUAACGGCUUACCAAGGCAACGAUGCGUAGCCGACCUGAGAGGGUGAUCGGCCACACUGGAACUGAGACACGGUCCAGACUCCUACGGGAGGCAGCAGUAGGGAAUCUUCCGCAAUGGGCGAAAGCUUGACGGAGCAACGCCGCGUGAGUGAUGAAGGUCUUCGGAUCGUAAAACUCUGUUAUUAGGGAAGAACAAAUGUGUAAGUAACUAUGCACGUCUUGACGGUACCUAAUCAGAAAACCACGGCUAACUACGU